RNAcentral lists this transfer RNA (76 nucleotides) under Caudoviricetes sp. Its description in RNAcentral is "tRNA-Val". It matches the Rfam family "tRNA". Rfam says of the family: Transfer RNA (tRNA) molecules are approximately 80 nucleotides in length. Their secondary structure includes four short double-helical elements and three loops (D, anti-codon, and T loops). Lineage: Duplodnaviria; Heunggongvirae; Uroviricota; Caudoviricetes. The record is from RNAcentral.
GCUCGGUUAGUUCAGUUGGAAGAACACCGCUUUUACACAGCGGGGGUCGGCAGUUCGAACCUGUCACCGAGUACCA